This is a long non-coding RNA of Patella vulgata (common limpet), 779 nucleotides long. RefSeq lists it as uncharacterized. The transcript is spliced from 4 exons. Lineage: Eukaryota; Metazoa; Mollusca; Gastropoda; Patellidae. The record is from RefSeq and is a predicted model, not a curated record.
CCAUAAGUUUAAUAUGUAAAGUAUUCCCAAACGAAUAACAGCGCUGAUGCAUGAACAUUAGCCCCCGUUUUUAUAUCAUACUUAAUUCAACUCGCCAAAAUAGGAGAGAUCGGAUCAAUACAUUCGUUCAUACCGGACUUGUAUGUAGACACUGAUUUAUAGCACGGUACGUCUCACUAUCUAAUAAUGUUCGAUUCUCUCGAUUUUUAAUGUUCGUGAUUAGCGUCGUUUAGGGUGGUGAGCUUCCAUACAUAAAACUAUCAGAAUUGAAGUGGGUGUUGAAUGAAUGGCAUCUCAAUGGAAGAACGGAUAAAGGGUUGCUGCCGAGAACAUUAUUUCAAACAAGACCUAGACUUAACCUGUUUAAUGAAAACUAUCUAAUCAACUUUUACUCAUGAAACUUUUAAACGCGUCUUUUGGUGCAUACAAAACGACAAUCGAAUAGGAAAUUUGGAUUGUGUUUGAAUCGCAUUUCUCAAAGCGAAGUGGUUGAUUUUAUUUAUUGAUAUAAUAAUUUUUUCUUUUGAAGAUAUAGGAUUGCAGGUGGAAAAGAACAAGAAUGUGGAAUCGCGUCAUCUUAGCCUAUGUGUUUUUAUUGCUUCUUCCGUUUUCAUCAUUACAACUGUACGACAGAGGUAAGAUUUGUCUCCCGGAAGAUAUAAAGACGUAGAGGCCUUGGACAAAUUAAGAACUAUAAAAAGACGGGUUUCAUUUAAGAAUAACCAGAGGGAACCAUUAACAUGUCGAGGCUGGCAUUCUCCGUGUAUACCUUGGACUUC